AUGAAGGGCCGCCCCCCUCUGCCUCUAGGGCUGCGAACUCGGUGCCUCUGGCUUCGCGGUGGGGAGCGGAUGGCACGUCUGUGUCUGCUAAGCAGGUGCGAAGCUCUGAGCUUCCCAGGCCAUCUUUCCCCCGGGUUUCUCUGGGUGUCUCGGUGGGGGUGGGGCAGUGGGCGCAGGAAUUGCACUGGGCGAGGUGAGGGCUUCAAAACGGGAACUGUCCCCCGCCGCACCAGGAAGCUGGUCCUCAGGGCCGGGCGCAUCCCCGGGUGCGUUUCCGCAGCUUCCUUCCCGCGUCUCCGCCCUUCUGGGAGGUGCUUCGCGCCCUCGGCCUCGCUUGGUCUGAGUCUUGAGGGGGCCUUGCCCACGGCUGGCACCCGGCUCGGGUGGAGAGCUGCCCCCGGAGGUCUGGCCCAUCCCCCGCUCCCCACUCCUGGGCAGCCCCGCGGGGUCCCCUCGGGGGUCUCUGGCAAGGACAGGCCCGGGGAGGAGGCAGGGCAGGGCGGAGGGCUGUGGCUGCGGAGGGUUCCGGGCUGGAGCCGGCCGCCAGCCCUGGUUCCUGCUCCACUCCCGUCUUGCCCAACACCUCCCCGGAACCUUGUGGUCGCUCAGGCCUGGAGCCGCGGCCCGUCUGGGGAGGGCUCGAGGGUGCGGUCUGGUGCUGGAAGUCAGCGUCCGCGCUCCCCACGCCGCCCCCAUGCUGCGUUGGGGGUCAUUCAGCCUAAACCCAGGGGUCUUGGGCCAGGUGGGCGCCGGCAGGGGUGCUGGACACAGCUCGGGGUGGCGUCCUCUCCCUGGUCAGCCGGGUCCGAGCUGCUAAGGGCCCUGCAUCUAGCAGGUGCUCUGGGCACACCGUCUGGGGAGGGCCGUGGAAGGAAGGGCCCAGCUGCCCAGGAAGCUGGCACAGUGUCACGGAGAGCUGGAGCCUUUGCUGAGCCGAGCCUGUGGCCCGCGCUGGGCUGGGCUGGGCAUGGCAGGGACUUGACGCUGGCCAUCUCUGGGCUCAGGAGCGCCCACCCACCUGCUCUGCAGACUCGCCUCAGAAACUGA
RNAcentral lists this long non-coding RNA (1047 nucleotides) under Sus scrofa (pig). RNAcentral describes it as "lncRNA (ENSSSCG00070009524.1)". The record is from RNAcentral. Lineage: Eukaryota; Metazoa; Chordata; Mammalia; Artiodactyla; Suidae.